Long non-coding RNA from Magallana angulata, 620 nucleotides. RefSeq lists it as uncharacterized. The transcript is spliced from 4 exons. The record is from RefSeq and is a predicted model, not a curated record. Lineage: Eukaryota; Metazoa; Mollusca; Bivalvia; Ostreida; Ostreidae.
GAAUGGACCAACUAUAUUCAGUUAUAGUAAAAACUUUGGAUGUUUUCCAGACGUAGCCAUACCAAAAAGACGCAAAAUUAUGAAACCUGCUCCAGUGGAAGUAUCUGCUUUAAACAAAGAUGUGGGAGCUGAGGCUGAAGUUGAGGCCGAUUCCAAUAUUCCUGUACCAGACAGCAUAACUGUACUUCAUGAUCACGAGUAUGCAACGUCAAGUCCUCAACAUAAUAAAUGUACCAACAUGAUGUAAAAUGUGUUAUCACAACCAGAUACAAAUCAUCCCUUAAACACAUGGAAGAGGAAUUAGUAAAGUUGCAGCAAGAAAUUAAAAUGCUCAAGCUAAACAAAUCCGUACAUGACAAUUAAGGACAUAAUUAAAUACCCUGAAAAGAUGCUGCUGUAUGCAUCAUUUUUUGCAGAUACUUUUCGCAUUUUGGAGAACCUCGUGGAGAGAAUGGGCCCGUUCAAUUAUUAUGGUGGUUGGAUUGUGGUGAACUUCAGUGUCAGUUUUUGUUUAUAAUUUGAAUCAAUUUUUUAAUAAAAACAGUAGUUCAUAAUGGUGAAAAUUGCUGGUUUAAUUUUAAAAGGUUACAUUUCUUGUACUAUAACUCAAAGGUCUUUGU